UACCACGAAUUGCAGACGCUUAGAGUGGUGAAAUUUCGAACGCAUAGCACCAACUGGGUCUCCAGUUGGUACGUCUGGUUCAGGGUUGUU
RNAcentral lists this ribosomal RNA (90 nucleotides) under Caenorhabditis nouraguensis. RNAcentral's name for it is "partial 5.8S ribosomal RNA". It matches the Rfam family "5.8S ribosomal RNA", at positions 63 to 154 of the family's 154-position model. From Rfam's summary of the family: 5.8S ribosomal RNA (5.8S rRNA) is a component of the large subunit of the eukaryotic ribosome. It is transcribed by RNA polymerase I as part of the 45S precursor that also contains 18S and 28S rRNA. Lineage: Eukaryota; Metazoa; Nematoda; Chromadorea; Rhabditida; Rhabditidae. The record is from RNAcentral.